RNAcentral lists this unclassified non-coding RNA (274 nucleotides) under Sordariomycetes sp. RNAcentral describes it as "partial contains 5.8S ribosomal RNA, internal transcribed spacer 2, and large subunit ribosomal RNA". Lineage: Eukaryota; Fungi; Ascomycota; Sordariomycetes. The record is from RNAcentral.
CGCACAUUGCGCCUGCCAGUAUUCUGGCAGGCAUGCCUGUCCGAGCGUCAUCUCGACCUUCAAGCCCUGGCUGCUUGGUGUUAGGGCUCUGCAGCACUCGCUGCAGGCCCCGAAGAUCAGUGGCGGACCCGUAGGCUCCCCAGCGUAGUAGCAUAUCUCGUUGCGGGCUCUCUGCGGGCUUCCGGCCAGAACUGUUCGUGCCCGCCCAAGGGGGCAGCGCUCACUAUAUUCACUGGUUGACCUCGGAUCAGGUAGGAAUACCCGCUGAACUUAA